UUAUAAGCGUACUACCCCACUCUGUGGCUCGUGCGUCACACAUAACAGAGGUUAAAAAAUGUUAUCCGUAACCACAACUGCAUUUGUUUCCAAGGUUCCGAUUGCUUUUCCUUCUCUUCCACCACCAAAUCCAAAUGUAAGUACGUGCGGAAUAAACAAUGAUGGGCAAAUUGGUCUUCAAAGAGUCACUGCGUCUAAAACUAAUAGUCUCAGACUCAGACUAGUCACUAACUCGGUUUCUGGGGAUAGCAGUGCCUCAGUUGACGUUGAUGUGCCAUUCCCUAGUGAUUAUUUUGAGCUUCUUCAACAAGCCAGAAAAGCAACUGAAUUGGCUUUAAAGGAUAACAGACAGUUGAUGGAGAUUGAAUUUCCAACUGCCGGACUUGAAUCUGUACCAGGUGAUGGGGAAGGAGGAAUAGAAAUGACUGGAAGUAUGCAAUUGAUUCGUGAAUUUUGUGACAGCUUCAUAAAUCCAGAGAAAGCCACACGCACCAGAAUCUUCUUCCCAGAGGCCAGUGAAGUUCAAUUUGCAAGACAAUCAGCCUUUGGAGGAGCCUCCUUUAAGUUGGACUAUUUGACGAAGCCAUCAUUUUUUGAGGAUUUUGGUUUUUCCGAAAAGGUGAAAAUGGCAGAUCGAGUGAAGCCAGAGGAUGAACUGUUCUUGGUUGCCUAUCCAUAUUUCAAUGUCAAUGAAAUGCUUGUGGUAGAAGAGCUGUACAAAGAAGCUGUUGAGAACACAGCCAGAAAACUGAUUAUUUUUAAUGGAGAACUUGACCGUAUAAGAUCUGGAUAUUAUCCAUCUUUCUUCUACCCGAAGCUGGCCAAACUUUCCAAGACCCUCCUGCCUAUGAUGGAGACUGUAUAUUACAUUCACAAUUUCAAGGGACGCAAUGGAGGAAUCCUUUUCAGGUGCUACCCUGGUCCCUGGAAGGUCCUAAGAAAAGUGGGGAGUAAAUAUAUAUGUCUACAUCAGCAGGAAGUUAUGCCAUCCCUCAAGGAAGUUGCCUUGGAUAUUCUAAUCUCAGCUUGAGACGUCUGUUUUUUGAACUCAGCAAGUCUUUUCAAUUAAUAUCUAGUUAUUGAGACAAAAGCUAAGAUAUGGGGGCACAGAGUGCUCGGACUACUUGUACAGGGUGUUUUCCAAGAGGAUCAAAUCACCUUCCAGCUACAUCAUUCUUCUGUGUAUUAUUUAUGAGAAAGCAUGGGCAGAAAAUCUAGGAGAACAGAAGCUGAUUACUAAAUGAGGCUUGUGUCUUUCUUGGUUUUGCCCAUGCUCAAAAGGAUUCAUAUGUCUCAAUCCAUCUAUCAAUUGUUAACUCAUGCAGUGGCUAAAGGCUUUCGUCAAACUCAAACGUCACCUUGAUGGAAACAGAGGUCGAUACAAAGCCAGAUUGGUGGCUAAAGGCUUUCAUCAACAACAAGACCUUGAUUUGGAUGAGAGUCAUGACUCAUGAGACCUUUAGUCUUGUAAUUAAACGUACCACAAUUUGGUUCAUUCUCUCUAUUGUAUUCCAAUUCAAAUGGUCUCUUCACCAAUUAGAUGUCAAGAAUGCUUUCUUACAAUGCAUUCUAAAGGAAGAAGUCUGUGACACAACUCACUGGUUUUGUGGAUUCUACUCACCCAUAUCAAGUUUUUUCGAUUGCACAA
This is an RNA transcript of Quercus robur (English oak), 1648 nucleotides long. It is a transcript of the gene named protein LPA3-like, with no coding region annotated. The record is from RefSeq and is a predicted model, not a curated record. The transcript has 11 exons. NCBI's taxonomy places the organism in Eukaryota, Viridiplantae, Streptophyta, Magnoliopsida, Fagales, Fagaceae.